Molecule: non-coding RNA, 281 nt
Organism: Pelobates cultripes (western spadefoot toad)
Lineage: Eukaryota; Metazoa; Chordata; Amphibia; Anura; Pelobatidae
Source: the annotation of a GenBank genome assembly
CCUCAGAAAUCUUUCGGUGUUCACAGGGAGGGGCAGCCGGGAUACCAGGUCAUGUCCCCGCUUCCCCUGCCUGCAGGAAGCCGAGUGCUUUGCUCAGGUGCUGGGGUUACGGCACACCCAGUACCUGAGCAGGCAGGCAAGCGGGAGAGAGGAGUCCAGCAGAUCAAUGGCUGCGCUAUGGGGUGGCUAAGGCGCCGCACGCUCAGCACACCAGCCCCAGGGCAGCCCACCAGGAAACUUCCCGGUGGGCACCCCCAGCAGGUUGGCGCCCCAAGUGAAUG